RNAcentral lists this ribosomal RNA (497 nucleotides) under uncultured bacterium. Its description in RNAcentral is "partial 16S ribosomal RNA". It matches the Rfam family "Bacterial small subunit ribosomal RNA", at positions 28 to 507 of the family's 1533-position model. The record is from RNAcentral.
GAUGAACGCUGGCGGCGUGCCUAAUACAUGCAAGUCGAGCGAACGGACGAGAAGCUUGCUUCUCUGAUGUUAGCGGCGGACGGGUGAGUAACACGUGGAUAACCUACCUAUAAGACUGGGAUAACUUCGGGAAACCGUAGCUAAUACCGGAUAAUAUUUUGAACCGCAUGGUUCAAAAGUGAAAGACGGUCUUGCUGUCACUUAUAGAUGGAUCCGCGCUGCAUUAGCUAGUUGGUAAGGUAACGGCUUACCAAGGCAACGAUGCAUAGCCGACCUGAGAGGGUGAUCGGCCACACUGGAACUGAGACACGGUCCAGACUCCUACGGGAGGCAGCAGUAGGGAAUCUUCCGUAAUGGGCGAAAGCCUGACGGAGCAACGCCGCGCGAGUGAUGAAGGUCUUCGGAUCGUAAAACUCUGUUAUUAGGGAAGAACAUAUGUGUAAGUAACUGUGCACAUCUUGACGGUACCUAAUCAGAAAGCCACGGCUAACUACGUG